Molecule: ribosomal RNA, 378 nt
Filed under: uncultured bacterium
Lineage: Bacteria
Description: bacterial SSU rRNA
Rfam family: Bacterial small subunit ribosomal RNA
Source: RNAcentral
UAAUACGUAGGGUGCGAGCGUUGUCCGGAAUUACUGGGCGUAAAGAGCUCGUAGGUGGUUUGUCGCGUUGUUCGUGAAAACUCACAGCUUAACUGUGGGCGUGCGGGCGAUACGGGCAGACUGGAGUACUGCAGGGGAGACUGGAAUUCCUGGUGUAGCGGUGGAAUGCGCAGAUAUCAGGAGGAACACCGGUGGCGAAGGCGGGUCUCUGGGCAGUAACUGACGCUGAGGAGCGAAAGCGUGGGGAGCGAACAGGAUUAGAUACCCUGGUAGUCCACGCCGUAAACGGUGGGUACUAGGUGUGGGUUUCCUUCCUUGGGAUCCGUGCCGUAGCUAACGCAUUAAGUACCCCGCCUGGGGAGUACGGCCGCAAGGCUA